UACGGGGGGAGCAAGCGUUGUUCGGAUUUACUGGGCGUAAAGGGCGCGUAGGCGGCCAGCACAAGUCAGUUGUGAAAUCUCCGAGCUUAACUCGGAAAGGUCAACUGAUACUGUGCGGCUAGAGUGCAGAAGGGGCAACUGGAAUUCUUGGUGUAGCGGUGAAAUGCGUAGAUAUCAGGAGGAACACCGGUGGCGAAGGCGGGAUCCUGGGCCAGUACUGACGCUGAGGAGCGAAAGCGUGGGGAGCAAACAGG
Molecule: ribosomal RNA, 254 nt
Filed under: uncultured bacterium
Lineage: Bacteria
Description: partial 16S ribosomal RNA
Rfam family: Bacterial small subunit ribosomal RNA
Source: RNAcentral